AAACCAACUGGGAUUACCUUAGUAACGGCGAGUGAAGCGGUAAAAGCUCAAAUUUGAAAUCUGGUACUUUCAGUGCCCGAGUUGUAAUUUGUAGAAUUUGUCUUUGAUUAGGUCCUUGUCUAUGUUCCUUGGAACAGGACGUCAUAGAGGGUGAGAAUCCCGUUUGGCGAGGAUACCUUUUCUCUGUAAGACUUUUUCGAAGAGUCGAGUUGUUUGGGAAUGCAGCUCAAAGUGGGUGGUAAAUUCCAUCUAAAGCUAAAUAUUGGCGAGAGACCGAUAGCGAACAAGUACAGUGAUGGAAAGAUGAAAAGAACUUUGAAAAGAGAGUGAAAAAGUACGUGAAAUUGUUGAAAGGGAAGGGCAUUUGAUCAGACAUGGUGUUUUUUAAAUGUGCAAGUCUCUCGUGGACAUGUGCCUCUGGAAAUUAACACUGGGCCAACAUCAGUUCUGGCGGCAGGAUAAGUCAUUAAGAAUGUAGCUACCUCGGUAGUGUUAUAGCUUUUUGGAAUACUGCC
Molecule: ribosomal RNA, 515 nt
Filed under: uncultured Hanseniaspora
Lineage: Eukaryota; Fungi; Ascomycota; Saccharomycetes; Saccharomycodales; Saccharomycodaceae
Description: eukaryotic LSU rRNA
Rfam family: Eukaryotic large subunit ribosomal RNA
Source: RNAcentral